CCCCAAGACAACUCUUUGCAGAACCAUAAUGCUAGAGGCUAUAAAAGAGCACCCAAAGCUGCACGCAUAACCCAAGGCCGAACUAAACAGCAUCAUCCAUGGUAGAACCGAUGGAAGCUCUCCCUAUUCAACACCAUCUACAACAAAAAUCAUCAAAUCCUCAUUUCUUCACAAUCUCCAUCCGAAGAUGAGAGAGCGAAACC
RNAcentral lists this unclassified non-coding RNA (203 nucleotides) under Hevea brasiliensis (rubber tree). The record is from RNAcentral. Lineage: Eukaryota; Viridiplantae; Streptophyta; Magnoliopsida; Malpighiales; Euphorbiaceae.